Molecule: long non-coding RNA, 289 nt
Organism: Mauremys mutica (yellowpond turtle)
Lineage: Eukaryota; Metazoa; Chordata; Testudines; Geoemydidae
Exons: 3
Source: RefSeq, a predicted model, not a curated record
UGUCCUCCCACCCGUCCCAAAGACCGGAGACGCCCUGGCCCCCCGUCACAGCCUGAGGCCUCAGUGGGGAGUGAGCGCUCCGCCCCCCCCUCUUCCCCCCCCGCAGCGAGCAGAGGAGGAAGGGGAGGUGACACUCUUUGGAAUGAAGCACAUCCCGCCUAUCUGAUCACACUGUGACUUUCUAGUGAAAACCAUUGCAAAAUUCAUACAGGAAGCAUGCACCGUUGCAGCAUCGUUGGAAAUGAUUUCUUGCUCUACUAGAAAAAAGUUACAUUGUCUUAAGGUAACA